UACGAAGGGUGCAAGCGUUACUCGGAAUUACUGGGCGUAAGCGUGCGUAGGUGGUGAGUUAAGUCUGAUGUGAAAUCCCCGGGCUCAACCUGGGAAUGGCAUUGGAUACUGGCUCGCUAGAGUGCGGUAGAGGGUGGUGGAAUUCCCGGUGUAGCAGUGAAAUGCGUAGAGAUCGGGAGGAACAUCUGUGGCGAAGGCGGCCACCUGGACCAACACUGACACUGAGGCACGAAAGCGUGGGAGCAAACAGG
This 251-nucleotide ribosomal RNA is filed under the name uncultured bacterium. RNAcentral's name for it is "partial 16S ribosomal RNA". It matches the Rfam family "Bacterial small subunit ribosomal RNA", at positions 524 to 776 of the family's 1533-position model. The record is from RNAcentral.